GAUGAACGCUGGCGGCGUGCCUAAUACAUGCAAGUCGAGCGAACAGACGAUGCUCUUGCUCCUCUGACGUUAGCGGCGGACGGGUGAGUAACGCGUGGAUAACCUACCUAUAAUACUGGGAUCACUUCGGGAAACCGGCGCUAAUCCCGUAUAAUAUAUUGAACCACAUGGUUCGAUAGUGAAAGACGGUUUUGCUGUCACUUAUAGAUGGAUCCGCGCCGCAUUAGCUGGUUGUUGAGGUAACGGGUUACCAAGGCAACGAUGCGUAGCCGACCGGCGAGGGGGGUCGGCGACAUUGGAACGGAGACAGGGUCAAGAGUCCUACGGGAGGGCGCAGUAGCGAAUCUUCCGCAAUGGGGGAGAGUCUGACGGAGCAAGGCGGAGUGAGAUAUGAAGGUGUUGGGAGCGUAAAACUCUGUUAUUAGGGAAAAACAAAUUUGUAAGGAAAUAAGGAGGGAUUGACGGUACCUAAUAAGAAAGCAACGGCUAACUACGUG
RNAcentral lists this ribosomal RNA (497 nucleotides) under uncultured bacterium. RNAcentral's name for it is "partial 16S ribosomal RNA". It matches the Rfam family "Bacterial small subunit ribosomal RNA", at positions 28 to 507 of the family's 1533-position model. The record is from RNAcentral.